GUAGGGAGCGAGCGUUGUCCGGAUUCAUUGGGCGUAAAGCGCGCGUAGGCGGCCGCGCAAGUCGGUUGUGAAAUCCCGGGGCUCAACCCCGGGACUGCGUCCGAUACUGCGUGGCUCGAGGCAGGUAGGGGAGAUCGGAAUUCCUGGUGUAGCGGUGAAAUGCGCAGAUAUCAGGAGGAACACCGGUGGCGAAGGCGGAUCUCUGGGCCUGUCCUGACGCUGAGGCGCGAAAGCUAGGGGAGCGAACAGGAUUAGAUACCCUGGUAGUCCUAGCCGUAAACGUUGGGCGCUAGGUGUGGGCGGAUAUCGACCCCGUCCGUGCCGAAGCUAACGCAUUAAGCGCCCCGCCUGGGGAGUACGGCCGCAAGGCUAAA
Molecule: ribosomal RNA, 374 nt
Filed under: uncultured bacterium
Lineage: Bacteria
Description: bacterial SSU rRNA
Rfam family: Bacterial small subunit ribosomal RNA
Source: RNAcentral